GCGCACCAGGCGAGAAACUUUACAAUGUGCGAAAGCACGAUAAGGGAACUCUGAGUGCCUCCUAAGGAGGCUGUUCAGGUGUCUAAAAGCACCUGAAGGAAGGGCUGGGUAAGACCGGUGCCAGCCGCCGCGGUAACACCGGCAGCCCAAGUGGUAGCCACGUUUAUUGGGUCUAAAGCGUCCGUAGCCGGCUGGGUAAGUUCCUUGGGAAAUUUGGCUGCUUAACAGUCAAGCUUUCAGGGAAUACUGCCCGGCUUGGGACCGGGAGAGGUCAGAGGUACUCCAGGGGUAGGGGUGAAAUCCAUUAAUCCUUGGGGGACCACCGGUAGCGAAGGCGUCUGACCAGACCGGGUCCGACGGCGAGGGACGAAGGCUAGGGGCGCGAACCGGAUUAGAUA
RNAcentral lists this ribosomal RNA (398 nucleotides) under uncultured microorganism. Its description in RNAcentral is "bacterial SSU rRNA". It matches the Rfam family "Archaeal small subunit ribosomal RNA", at positions 330 to 735 of the family's 1478-position model. The record is from RNAcentral.